UUCCUCAGCAUGUUGGGUUUUUUUGGCUCACUACAGCCUCCUUUCCCAGUGUCAGUAUUCUGUUCAGUCUGGCAGAAAUCCCAGAAUCUCUUUUGGAAGGGACCUCAGCAGCAUCAAGUCUAAGGAUUCUUAGCCUAGGAUCUAUAAGUUCAGCCAAGUUGAGCCAGCUUCUGAAGAUGCUGAGGCUGAGGUAGUGUGAACGCACAAGUUGCAUUGACAACAGUCAAGACAAAAAAUUUUUCUUGAGAUUCCAUCCACUCUAUGCCCAACACUAUGCUAGUCAUGUAAGCAAUUCGAAGAAGGAAAAGGAACAGUUUCUCAAUACAAGUAACCCACAAUUUCUGCCUGA
Long non-coding RNA from Phascolarctos cinereus (koala), 349 nucleotides. RefSeq lists it as uncharacterized. Lineage: Eukaryota; Metazoa; Chordata; Mammalia; Diprotodontia; Phascolarctidae. The record is from RefSeq and is a predicted model, not a curated record.